Non-coding RNA from Oryctolagus cuniculus (rabbit), 849 nucleotides. Lineage: Eukaryota; Metazoa; Chordata; Mammalia; Lagomorpha; Leporidae. The record is from RefSeq and is a predicted model, not a curated record.
UCAGCUCUGGCUCUUUUCCCUUUGUGUGUCCCUGACAGGGGGCUACCUCUUCCGUCUGGGCCCCGAAUGCAGGAGGCUGGUGGCACAGAGCCACAGCCAGCUGGCAAGGGCCACACGAGAAUCAGAACCCCGUUGGGGAAGCCACUGAGAGGCCAUCGACGUGACCGGCCUCGUCCAUCCCAGCCCAUGUCAUCUCCUCUCUGCCCAGGCCAGACAUCUUCACCCCUGCUGCAGGGCGGUGUGGCAGCCUCCUGAAGAGGAUGAGAUCUGGAACCGAACUGCCUGCUCUCAAGGGACAGUGCAGUGACCCGUGGCAGAGUGCCACUCCCGCGGGGGCCUGGAAGGAGGCUGAGACCACGGCAGAAACCUUCUGCAGGACAGCAGUUCAAGUCCAGGACCUGCACAGGAAGAGGGGCCUGCUCACAAUCAGGUUCUCCUGGAGCACCUGGGAGACUAUGACUGCCCAACAGGGACAAGCCGCCAAGUCCCCGGAGGGUUACACUGACCACUCCAACUUUAAACGCUGCAGAUGCGAAGCUUCCUUUUGGAGUACCUUUCUAUUGUACCUCGUACACCAAUUGUCUGGCCUUCCACAGGAAGUUCUGGGUGUGUCUAGUAAUCACCUAGACUGACAAACAGAACUAACUGACCCAAAUCCAAAAGAAACAAAAAAGUCAACAGACAUAGACACUUGGGUUAUUCCAAACACCGGAAUGAGCGGACACGGACUUCCAUCACAAUACAAAUGUUCAAGAAAGCAGAGGGAAAAAUGGGAGAAACCGAUGAAAAGAUGUGGAAUUUCAGCAGAGAAUGAAAAUAUAUUUUAACUGAAAAACAAUAAAAAUUAAG